Long non-coding RNA from Diospyros lotus (date-plum), 9311 nucleotides. RefSeq lists it as uncharacterized. The record is from RefSeq and is a predicted model, not a curated record. Lineage: Eukaryota; Viridiplantae; Streptophyta; Magnoliopsida; Ericales; Ebenaceae. The transcript is spliced from 3 exons.
GCGGAGGAAACUAGAAUACAAGCUAGCUAAGGAAAGCCAGGCCGCCACACCGACCGGGGCUCUCGAUUUCGUGCUUGGUUUGGUCUAGGGUCCAGUUUCGCCAUUGAUCUCGUAGAUCUCAGACCCACAUCGAAAAGAUGGAUCGGCAUCGCCUAAGCGACCAAAUCACAUCCAUCUUUCAUGCAUAAUUGCUUCGCCUUUCCGUCCAGACCUUUUUCUGGCAUUAAACCCCAACCCAACAGCUUAUCACCUCGACAAUUUUAUCUCCCUUUAUCUCUCUCUAGAAACUGAUAGCCAUCGUUAUCCAUCCUAAAUGCCCUCAGAGGCACUAUCUAUCUUCGUCCCCCAAAGAUUCCCAUGAAUUAUAGCCUAGCUUCUAUGAAACGUUUGAGGGAGCCUCGGAAUUUCGUAUCGUAUUCUGUUCCUUUGGUUCGCUUGCUGGGUUCUGUUUGCGGUUGAGUUGAAUUGGUUUUAGGGUUUUGUAUUUUUGGGUUUCGGGGAAAUCUUUCUUUGUCAGUGGAAGGGUUGCGAGUAUGGAAGGAUUUGAAGGUGGGGGAAGCUUUCGAGGUGCGGUUAAUCAUCGGGAUCUCAAACCCUUCGGCGCGAAUUCGUCAGAAGAUGCUGUAUUUGAUGCAUCACAAUAUGCCUUCUUUGGUAAUGAUGCUGUUGAAGAAGUUGAAUUGGGGGGACUAGAAGAUGAGGAAGAUGAUUUUGCUCCAGUUGGGUUUGAUGAUGAGCAGCAUCAGCUGGAUCAAGAAGAGGGUGAAGUUUUAGGAUCUUUAUCUGAAAUUGAUGAUCUUGCAGAGGCAUUUUCAAAGGUUGGUUUCCAUGAAAGUUGGAAGUAUUUUGCAUGCACUUCUGGAGUGAGAUUUGAAAGACAAAAAUUGUGCCUACAUUUAUUUUUGAGAUUUUUAACUGUCAUUAUUGUCUUCUAUAGGACAUGUUAUCAAUAUUUUUUAAUUAAAUGUGAGGUUUUUUUCUUUUUUUUUUUUGGGGGGGGGGGGGGGGGGGGGUUGGUCAUAAUGUGGCGUGCAGUUUGAUUUGUAGGGAUGGUGUUUAAAUUCAUUGGGUCCUUUUUAACCCUUGAAGAGCAGGGAGGCUUCUAUUGCAUAUUAUAUGGUUGCUGUUGUCACAUUUUGAAACUUUUUGUUUUUUUUUUCCUUUUUUGAAAUAUGUUGGCAUACUUGAAGCCCUUUUCUCUUUUUGGAGCCGAUCAUCCUUCUCCAGAAUUUUUUUUUUAUUUUAUAUUUGGACAAGCCCAACGUAAUUAGUUGUCGUUUGUACAUUUUCUUUGUCAUCUUGUACUUACAAAACAUGAAACUCCCUUUCUAAAAGAAGCAUUACUAGUUUCUGUUUUGGAAUAAGUGAAUGAAACCUAAGACUGGCAGUUUCAAAUGUUAUAUCGACAAAAGCUUUCUGGACUAAAGCAUGUUAGCUUUACAUGUAUAUAGAGCUUUAUAGGGUAAAAACCAAAUCUGGUAGUUGCAAAACGUUAAAUUGAUAAAGCUUUUCUUGGACUAUAUAGCGUGUUGGUGACACGUGGAUGGAGCUUAUAGGGUUUUCUUUUUCAACUUAUUCUAGUAUUGCUUUGCAUUGGGUUUUGGGUUGUGGUUGGCUUGAAUUAUAAAAUAAUUAUAACUUGCUUGCAAGGAGGAUGACAUUUGUGCAUUUUGGAAUUUGAUUAGCUAGUUGGCUUACUCUUGUCAUAUCAGUGAGAGUAAGCCAUUGUCUCACCCAGGAUUGUCAAGGCGCUAACCUGGGCACCAGAGCAGAAUAGUGCCUCUGGGCAUCCCAGGCAAGGUGCCUUCAAUGAGGCGCCCGCCUAGGCAUGCUUGAGAGGUUCCUCAAGACAAUAGAAAUGCCCUAAGGCAGUGCCUUUCUGAAAAGUCUUUUCAGAUUCCUUUUAUGUUGCUUAACCUUUAUUUUAUUCUGGGUACUUCAAAUAUAAUAAUAGAGUUUAGAUUUCCAAAAAAGUAAUUAAUAUAAAACUUAAAAAUUAAUUAUAACUUAAUAGAGUUUCUGUUCCCAAGCAAAUUAAUUAUAAGUUAAAAAUUAAUAUUAUAUUCCUUUAUGCUGCUUAACCACCCUCUUUUCCCAAGCAAAUUAAUUAUAACUUAAUAGAGUUUUUGUUCCCUAGCAACUCUUGGAAUUCUUAAAAUUUCUGUUCAUCCUUUUCUCAAGAUGCAGGCACUGAUUUAUUUAUUAAUGUUGGAUCAUGAGGAUAUGUCAAGGAAAAAAUCUUUAGAAAUAUUCAAAACUGAAAUAGGAUAUUUCCUAAUUUAGUCUUAGGAAACUUUCCUAAGAUUGUUUAUAUGUAUCUUUUCUUUUUGUUUUUCCUUCCUUUCUUGUAAUUAGAUUUGUUUCCAUGUUGUAUUCCUUUUCCUCUAUAAGAGGAUGUAUCCGUGUACAUACAAUCAAUAAGGAGAAUUAUAUUCUGAUUUCCUACAUGGUAUCAAAGCCAGCGAUAUCCUCUUGUUCAUCCUAAAACCCUAGUGUACUGUCACUGCUCAAAUCCUAGUGUGCCUUCAUUGCACAUUCUUGUUCGUUCCAUUCAAGCCUUAAGUGCUUCCUCUUUGUUCAGCCAUUUUUUUCGAUAAUUAUGUCUAAAAUAUUUGAAGCAGUACCUACCAUAACCACCGCUAAAUCAACCCCAAUUGAUUAGCCAACUGGAGCAGGAGAGCUGUCGGGGAUGCACCAUUCCUACCGGUUAAAUGGUAGGAAUUACUUGCAGUGGGCUCAACUGGUGAGGACGUUCCUCAAGGGUCGAGGGGAGAUUGGACACUGAACCCCCCCCCCAAAGGACACAAAUCCCAUCUUCAUAGCAUGGGAUACUAAAGACUCUUUGAUCAUGUCUUGGCUAUGGAGUGUCAUGCAGCCAGAUGUUGUAAGAACUUAAUGUUUUUAACUUUAGCAAGGGAUAUUUGGGAGAUUGUGAGGCAAACCUAUUCCAAGGUUCAAGAUGCCUCGGUUAUUUUUGAGAUUAAGACUAAGAUUAGUGGCACUAGAUAAGGAACCUUGACUAUAAGAGAGUACUACAAUAAGAUGAAAGGAUUAUGGCUAGAACUAGACCACUAUCAAGACAUCAAAAUGGUGUGUAGUGUAGAUGCUGCCACCCUUAAUCGAAGUUUUGAAAGGGAUAGGAUUGUAGAAUUCCUAGUAGGGCUAAAUCAAGAGUAUGAUCAAGUGAGAAUUCAGGUGCUUGGUAGGUAGAAAUUGCCUACUCUUAAUGAAAUAUUUGCCAUUGUUAGAAGUGAAGAAAACAGAAGGGUAGCCAUGCUUAAUGAACAUGGUGCAGAAAGUUCAGCUAUGGUGUCAAGUAACAAAGUAGGAAAAUCGGAGGUGUCAAUGAAGAAUUCAGGCUGUGAUAGCUUUUGGUGUACCUAUUGCAAGAAGCCAAGGUACACUAGGGAUACAUGCUUCAAACUCCACUAGAAAGAAGCUGUUUUGAGCAGAGUGGGAGGAUUUAAGAACCUAACUCCCAAGAAUUAUGCCUAUAUCUCAAGCAAGGAGUUGAAGGAUGCUGGAUCUGCAGAAAAGACAAAUCCUAUUAGAUCUGAUCUUUUUUUUUUUUUUGAAAUGAGUGAGCACAAAUAUAUUAAUGAGAUCAUAGGAGUAGUACAUCAAUGACUCGAAACAAGAGAGUUCCACACAAUUCAUGCUAUCCAUAACACCCCUGUCAUGACCAUAGGAGUAAUAAAGGGACAUUGUUGUAAUAGGGUAUAAUAGUUAGUUAGAGAUAUUUUACAAGUUGUUAGAAACACAUGGGUGCUGUUAGGAUGUUGUUAGAAAUUAGUUAAGCAUUUAGCUAUGCCUAUAAAAGGCCAAUUGUAAGUGGAGAGAUUAUGCUUGAAUGAAUGAAAGAAAAUCUGAUUCUCUCUCUCUACAAUUCUCUCAAAUCUCCCUCUCAUUUCUCUUUUUUACUCUCCCUCAAUUCUCUCUAAUUCCUCCCCCAUUCUUCUUCAAUUUUCCCUUUAUAGAUUAUGUUCUUGACCUUACUUCAAUCGGAUCCUUCUGAUUGCCAAUUUUAACCCAUUAUGAACCCUAGGUUCAUGACAAAUGGUAUCAGAACAGUCAAUCAUUGGCUGUGGAUUUAAUUCUAGUUGAUUAGAACUUCUAGAUGAGCAAGCAAGUCCAACCCAGACGGUGCGAAGCAAAUCAGGGUGACUUCUGGAACCCAUCACAGUGAUCAGAUUUUCGGAUAUACUUGGCGAGAGCAAAUCCGGGGCUGUCGACUCUUUCUGGUUGACUUAAUCAAGCCCAGAUUGAGAAGGCUUUGAAGGCGAUUUGGGUGAGGCGAGUGCAAACUGCGAUGGUGAUCAAAGCCGGUUUGGCAAAACUUCAACAAUCCUAGUUCGUCGCUUGAAGGCGAUUCAAGAAGCAACAACUUCCAGUGAAGACGCGAAGGAGAAGUAGGAGGAUUGGAUUGCGGCCAAGACUCCAGUAAUCUGGACCAGACUUAAAGACGAGCAACCCAUGAGGAUUCACAAACUGGAGUGACUGGGCCUGGGUUGCUGAGUCAGUGAUUGGGUGGGCUGCGACUAUUGCAAAAUUGGCUUGACGGUGGAUAGGUUGAGCUUCUGAUCUGAUUUGGAAAGUAUCUACUGUGGCAACAAUUAGGUUCGGAGUCGGGGAGAAGGACUUCGAUGGUGAUCUUGCCAAGAGAAUUCCGAACGGGUUUCCGAAUAUUGCUACUGAUGUGGUUAAUUUCCAACAGGCGAGCAGCCCGGGAAUUUCUAGAAGACAAUUUUGCUGAUUCAAGAACUUUGUCAGUUUCAAUUGGGUUCAGUAUUGUAGGCGAGUAAGACCAACAAUUCCGAUCAGACCUUGGAGUCGAACAAGAAGGUGAACUCAAAAGGGAAGUUAGGCGAUUGUGAAUCCUUGGUGAUUGUUGUUUCAAAGGCGGAGUAGGUGUGCAAAUUGGAAGCAACGAUUGAGAGAGAUAGACUAGGAGACGGCAAUGGAUUCAAGGUUGCUGAAUUGGGAGGAGAUCGAUUCUUAAUUAGGCAAAGGCAUAGUAGCUAUUUUGGAGUCAAUUGAUUUUCUGAAGGCUGCAACAAAACUGAUCGAACUCACAGGAAGUACCUUGGGCUUCCAGUUCGACUUGUGGAGGAGAAGCGGAAGGUUCGACUGCAAAGGCGGAGCAUCAGUUUGAUUCAUUGCUGUGUUCAAGCUGCUGCAGUCGCGGUUUGGGAAGAUCGCUGAACCAUUUCAAUUCCGGCGAGCAGUGAAGGUGAGAAGUGGAUUUUUCCAGCUUAUCCAGCUCGUUGAUUGGUGGUGCUUGAGGCUGUGAGCAAAGGAAACAAGAGGUAGAUUUUGGCUGUAAAAUUUUGGCUAACUUGUUUGAAGAAGAGCAGUAUGUUGGUGAAAAGGCAGCCAAGGGGAGCAGUGCAUAUAUGAGACCAUUAGAGUCUCAAUUACAGCAGAAGAAUGCUGCAUUUUUAGUGGAACAUUUUGCUUGUGAAUCCAUGGAAAGCAGUGGAAGCACAAAACAAUUGGGGCCUCAAUGGCAAUAGAAGAAGGCUGCAAUUUCAGCUGGCAACAAGAAGAGUGAGGAGCAGUUUAUUCAGAAGAAUCAGGCUUGGGAAAUGUUGGAUAAGGUGUCUAGUCGAAUUGACAAGAGAGCAAGCAGUGGGAUUCAUGAAAUGUGCGAGGAAUUCGGUCAUAUGUUCUGCGAGAAGUUGUAGGAGUGUGCGAUGAUACUGAUUAAGAAGUAUCAUUACAACUUUCCGGUGGAAUAUUUCGAUGACUAUCGCAAGAGUUUUAACAAGAUGAAUUCCUUAAAAUAGAGCCGCUGAAGGAGAAAUUGAGGAGGCGAGAAGCAGAUUUAUUGCUCACUUCCAAUGUUGAAGAGAAAAAGUAUACUGGUUUAGGCGAAAUUGACAAGGAAGAUGCCAACUCAUUACUCUCGUUGGCUAGUGCAUGGGCUGAAGGAUUUGGGGGUGUUUUGGAUUAGAAGUUUGUGGGAAAUGGAAUAGCAUUGGAUCAAGAAAAUUUGACUGAAGGACCCUCAAUCUACACAGAUAUUGGGGCUGAAAUCCUUCCUCCUAUUUUGGACCUAUCAAAAGCUAAGGAUUCUUUGACUUGGGGUAUAAUGGGCAGCGAGAAGGUGGAGAGGGUUGAGGAGUACAUGGAAGAAGGGAUUGAAGAAUUGGGGUAUGGCAGUCUAACGAUUGGAAGCACCUCAUGCACCCCCAUUGGUACUAAGAAUCCAGUUGCUAAAACCCUCUAUAUGACACCGUUGGAGGAGGUAACUGUUGAGGAUGAAGCUGAGAUGUUCGCUAGCAAUCCGGGAGGCAAAGAUCUUGGAAUGGAAACGACCACAACAGCCUUAGAUUGUGGAGGUCUUAAAUCUAUUUCUCUUAAAAGAAUAGGAAUGGAAGGAGUUGCUAAAUUUCCUACUAUGGAUCAAUAUGUUUCUGAUCUGGAGCAAUGGAGGACGCAGAAGGAUAAAGCGAAACAAGAUGAAAGGAAGAAAGGGAAGGGAUUCUUUGUUAAAGGGACCAAGACCCUUGUUGUUUUGCUUAUUCAUGUUUCCAUUGGUGUGACAGCAAGAUGUAAUGCUGCUGCUGCUGCUGAGGAGAAAGAAAAAAGAAAGCAAAAGAAAAGGAAAAAACAAGAUAAGAAGGAAAAGCGAAGAAGAAACUAAUGGGUGAAGUUGGGCAUUGGAUGAAGAAACAAUGGCUUGGUUGUAAUAAGUUUCUUGGGGACAAGAAACCUUUCAAGGUGGGGAAAUUGUCAUGACCCUAGGAGUAAUAAAGGGACAUUAUUGUAAUAGGGUAUAAUAGUUAGAGAUAUUUUACAAGUUGUUAGAAGCACAUGGAUGCUGUUAGGAUGAUGUUAGAAAUUAGUUAAGCAUCUAACUAUGCCUAUAAAAAGGCCAAUUGUAAGUGGAGAGAUUAUGCUUGAGCGAAUGAAAGAAAAUCUGAUUCUCUCUCUCUACAAUUCUCUCAAAUCUCCCUCUUAUUUCUCUUUUAUGCUCUCCCUCAAUUCUCUCUAAUUCCUCCUCCAUUCUUCUUCAAUUUUCCCUUUAUACAUUAUGUUAUUGACCUUAUUUCAAUCGGAUCAUUUCGAUUGCCAAUUUCAACCCGUUAUGAACCCUAGGUUCAUGACAACACCCCCCCCCAAAAAAAAAAAAAAAAAAAAAUGACAAUCCAAAACUGACUUCAUAGUCAUCAAGCCUAGAAGAGGGAGAAGAACUUAGCGACCAAGAGUAGAGGUAGACAUGAUAACCUAGUCCACCGAGUAAGGGAAAGAUGGCUCCAUAGCCCUUUCCCAAGCAACUAACUUGGCAAGCACCAAGUUAAAGAUAUCAACCGCACCUGACCUUCGAUAUUUGAAAACUAACCUAUUUCGCUCCAGCCACAUUGUCCAUAGCGUUGAAUAUAAAAGAGACUUCCAUACCUUCCUUUGUCCUUUACCUCGAGCAAAGUAAUCCUAUUGAUCAAAUAGACCCCCAACUGAUCUUGGACAAACCCACUCAUUGCCCUACCAUCUAAAGAUUUGCUGCCACAAGCACAAGACAACCUCACAAUGGACGAAGAGAUGGUCCAUAGAUUCUGGGAUAGAGCCUUAGAAGACGCAAAGCAGAUCGUCCCCCUGCAGAAAUCAUUUCCUACCUAGAUUGUCUUUUGUGUUAAUUUUCCCUCAUAUGACAAGCCACACAAACAACUCCACUUUUGGAGGAGCUAAACUACCCCAAACAUGAGCGGCCACCGAAUUAAUUGGAGGGACAUUGGAACCACACAUCAGUGAGCAAAGCCUCUCAUUAAAUGAGUGCGACGAAAAGGAACCAGCCGCUUCAAGCGACCAAUAUACUCGAUCUCUCCUUCCACUUGCCAAAUGAACUUGGGAGAUAGCUCUUAGCAGCUCAACCUGGAUAGACUCUUCUCUUUCAAGAAGCGGCCUUCUUCAGUUAAGGCUCCAAAACCAUUUUAUUCACCCAAAACCCCAAAUUUGCCACUCUCUUCCCUUUAUCCAGGGACAAUGCGUACAACCAUGGGAACAAACCCGAAAUGGAGGAGAUACCCACCCAAGUGUCUUCCAAAAACCGAGUUAAGUCACCCUUACCUAGGCAGAUUUUAACCCCUUCCACGACCACUGACCGAGCCUCAUUAUUGCUGGUAUAAGUUUCAACAAUGCCCCUCCACCAAGAACUAAAACUCUGCUUAACCUCCACAUCAUUGAUUCCAACAAAGAUACCAUUAUGCCUAGCUGCAAUUACUUUACACCAAAGCUGAUCCCCCCCACUAAUCAUCCUCUAUAGCCAUUUAAAGAGCAAGGCUUUGUUUUUGGCCAACAAGGACCCCACCCCCAACCCGCCCAGCUUCUUAGGCAACUCAACCAAUUCCCAUCUAGCAAGAGCCAUUUUUGCCACCCCCUCAUUCCCAGACCAUAGUGUCACGACCCUAGGAUUUAGCUAAGGUCUAGGAAGGAAUUGGAAAGGAUUCGGGAGGGAAAUGGAGAAGAAUUGGAGGGAGAUAUAGAGCAGAAAUAAAGAGUAAUGAGAGAGAAUUAGGAAGAAUGAGAGGGAGAAAGUAAAGAGGGAAAAUAUGAAUUCACUAUAUUAUUUCAGCAUACAUUUCUCUAUAACAUAAUUGAUAGCAUUUCCUAACCAACAAUGUAACUAAUUACUGCUUUACCCCUAUAAUAUCCCAAGGGUUGUAACAAUUCUCCCUCCUUAAAAGGUUUUUUGUCCCCAAGAAACUUAUUACAACCAAGCCGGUGUCUCUUCAUCUAAUGCUUCUCUUCAUCAACUGGUUUCUUCUUCGUCUUUUCUUGUUCUUCUCUCGUAUUUCUCUUUGCUCUUGCUUUCUCUUUUCUUCUUUCUCCACAAUAACAAUAUUAUGACUUGCUGCAACACCAAUCUCAGCCAUCCACUUCUUCUUUAUUGCCACUAAAAAUGGUUCUAAAUGAGCGGUCAGUCCUGCAACUCUAUCUUUUCCAAUCAUAGAGAUAAUUUCAAAUCUCUCUACAGGCAAAAAUCUGUACAAUACUCCCAAUUCUCCUGGUUGCAAUGUUACCUUUGUCUUGUCUUGUGUGCUCAUGCCAAUGACAUUUGUAUGAGAUGUUCCAAGCAAGUUACUCGGUACAAUCCUCUCUUCUUCCACCUCCUCUUCUUCUUCCUCCGGAUCAUCCCGAUGUUUGGUCUUAUUAACUGGUUCUUCCUCAUAGUUGGGCUGGUCUUGUUGCAAUACUCUAGAAACAUCACCAUCGAGCAGACUAUCAUAUUCCUCAGAAGGAGGUUUUCCCCAAUCUCCUACUUGCUAAUUGCUGGAGUAUACCUUAGGCUCACUUUCAGCAAGUAUUUCCUC